Lolium perenne is the source of this 2979-nucleotide non-coding RNA. NCBI's taxonomy places the organism in Eukaryota, Viridiplantae, Streptophyta, Magnoliopsida, Poales, Poaceae. The record is from RefSeq and is a predicted model, not a curated record.
CACCUCAGUAUAUUCCAGUUGCAGAGAAACUCCAAAAAUAAAAGAUAUAAACAGAAUCUCAUACUCAUGCGCCAUAGCCCAACCCUAACAAACGUAGCCCCUGCUACGGUAUGAGCGGAAACAAGGAAGGCCAGGGGGGUGCACCUGGUCUAUAUAAGACCGGCGGUGCACGCCUCCCUGAUGGGGUAUACCAUACCAGAUCGAGCCAGUAGGAUACGCUGGCAGAUCUGGCCGGACAGCCGCCUAGAUGGGUUUGAUCUCUCUCCCCUCUCCCUCUCUCUUCGUGUCGAUCGUCUGCUGUGUUCGAUGGGACUGGUCGGGGUUACGGUUGUUUUGAUGGAGGUGUCAAUGGCUGACAGAAGAGAGUGAGCACACAGCGGCAGACUACGUCUGAUAAAGGCGAUGGAUCGAUGCAAAGAGAAGAGAAAGACGCAGCUGCUGUUGCGUGCUCACCUCUCUCUCUGUCAGCUCUCUCUCCCCCUUGGGACUUGUUCCGCCAUCAACCUCCCCUUGCCGUUCCCAUCGCUUCGCCGCUGCGACGCGCGGCCAUCUUUGUUUGCAUUGACUGCCGAGAAGAGGCAGGUGUCCCCACCUGAACCCUAUCUUGCUCGGAUUCCUUGGGCUUUGGAAUAAGGUACGCUGCGCGCAUGCACGCCAUGAAUUCUUGCGCCGGCCGCCACCAAUUCCUGUAGGAGUAUGUCUUUUCUUCCCAGCCGUCUUUGCUUCUUCCAAAGGAGUAGCUCUACCCCCUUGGGGCAAGGGGACGCGUGUUGAUUUGAUUAACCAUGGUGUUAUUGUUUGCUCGUCUCCCCAUGUCUGCUUAACGGAAAGCACUGUUUGACUAGUCGUCCUUGCUAUGCCCUUCUCCUUCCUCUCCUCGUCUUCCUCCUCCAGCUUUCUCUUUCUCCCUUUUAACUUUGAUGGAAGCGAUUUCUUCCUACGAAGCUCACGAAUAUUUUACAAGUUUUCUCCUCCUUUUGCUUCCUCAUCUUAUGUGGUGCUGUGAGUUAGGCAGGAAGGAGGAGGCUACGGUGGCGGCGGGAGGCAGAUCUACGAUUCUUCGAUUGCGCUUAAGUGGAAAAGGGCACCUAGCUACUGGCCGGCGAGACGGAGCCUUCCAGAUCCGUGGCAGCGUUCCAGUUUCCGGAAAACAAAAUCUUCCCUUAGUCGAGGAGAUGGAGCCAGCAGCUUUGCUUCUGCGUGUGUAAUUCAUUGGUACCCAAAAGAAGUUAAAUCUACAUUGAAAUCCAAUUGGUGGAUCAUAUAGUUUGUUUAGUAAGUCGAAAACAGCAUUAUUUAGUUGAAUACCUGGUUGAAUAAGUUGCUUUUCAGCACCUUAGCGAAAUACUUCAUGCCUUUGAAUUUCUUGAUAUGUUUUCAUACAGAUUUUAGGUAGCUACAUCCUGUUGGUUUUAGUGGCAUAUAUUUUCUGAGUAACAUACGUGAGUCUUUCUACUGUUGCAUGCUAUAUAAGAAAGUGGAUGAAAAGAAGUUAAAUCUACAUUGAAAUCCAAUUGGUGGAUCAUAUAGUUUGUUUACAAAGGGGAAAAUUGCAUUAUUCAAUUAGUUACCUAGUUGACUUAAGUUACUUUUCAGCACCUUAGCGAAAUGCAUCAUGCCAUUGAAUUUCUUUAUAUGUGUUUUUUGUAGCUACAUCCUCUUGGUUAUAGUAGUAUAUAUUUUCUGUGUAAAUUGCGUGAGUCUUUCUACUUUUGCAUGCUACCUCAGAAAUUGGAUGAUAUAUUAUUGAUUUAAUUUUUGCCUUAGAAAUCAAUAAAAAAAUAGAGAAUCUUCUAUUUUGGAGCAAUAUUUGUUUAUCUUGAAACCUAGUAAAGAGACAUAGGGAGGUUGGGCACUCUUCUUUCAUGCUUUGGUGAGUUGUAUUAGAUCUUCCCAAAUGUGUGUUUGUAAACAUGAUUGGUUGGGAAAGAUUCACUGUCAUGUCUAGGAGUAAAAUGUUACCAACGAACUUCAUUACCAACGAACUUCAUUAUGGAGAAUCCAAGAGUUAAUAUCACAGUAAAUAAAAUAUAUUGACGGAAUAUUUCGAUAAUUUACCAGCACAACUCCUUUAAUAAUCGUAAUUCCAUGAUAGGCAAGUUCUAAAUCUGUUUCUUCUUCAUAUCAGUUAGGUAGAUUUAAACACAAGAUUGUAUUUACACCCUGAUUGGUUGUUGGAAAUGGGAUUGGAAUCCACAAAUUCGUAUUGCUCAUACAUUAACUAUUAUAUGCUUUUUGGAUGCACACUAAUUAGAAGUUGGAUUUGGGGGAUCAAUUCACCCGCAUAGGAACAUAACUACAAAUCGGAUCCUCCAAUUAAUACCAAGUGCUAUAUAAGUAUAUGACUAUAAAAUCAGUGUAUUUAUAAGUGAAAUAAUAAUAUUUUGCAAGGAAAAUAGAAUGAUACCUAUUAUACAAGAUUUUUAAUAUAAUUAUAUAGAUAUUACUGAUCAAAGUCAUGCUUCAAAGGAGGUGCCUCCGAGCAGGCCUACACCGUUUGAGGAUGGCUUCGUUGCUUGUCAUGGUUCCCCUUCUCUUCGGUUGGAAGAUUGCACGCUUUCAUACUUCCUCGUCCAUAUCUUCAGUUUGUUUAUCUGUCGUGAUGUUGUUGUCAGCCAAAUUAUCUAUUGUUGCAAGAGGAUGUAAGUCAAGAUUAUCUAUAGCUCCAUAAUAUAAGGCGAAAAGUUGGAACAGAGAGACUACACACUACAAGCAUGAUCAAGGAAAAAAGUUUAUUGCAAACGCAUUGGAAACUUGUGCUUCUCAUAUGCAUUUCUGCCGUGGCCCAGUGUCAAUUUUUCAUCGUAAUUAGCUACUCUGUGUACAUUUUAGAAGCUUAGAAACCAUGACACUCCUUAUUUCUGUGGUUAUCACAGCCUAAAUGGAAUGCUCUUUUGUAACCUGCAACGUCCUAACGGUCUAGUUGUGCUAUGUAAUAUUUUAUUUUACAUGGGAAGCAUGCAUCAGCCUUUACGCCAA